Molecule: ribosomal RNA, 388 nt
Filed under: uncultured bacterium
Lineage: Bacteria
Description: bacterial SSU rRNA
Rfam family: Bacterial small subunit ribosomal RNA
Source: RNAcentral
GGACGAACGCUGGCGGCGUGCUUAACACAUGCAAGUCGAGCGGUAAGGCCCUUUCGGGGGUACACGAGCGGCGAACGGGUGAGUAACACGUGGGUGACCUGCCCUCAGCUCUGGGAUAAGCCUGGGAAACCGGGUCUAAUACUGGAUAUGACUCCAUGACGCAUGUUGUGGGGUGGAAAGCCUUGUGCGGCUGAGGAUGGGCCCGCGGCCUAUCAGCUUGUUGGUGGGGUGAUGGCCUACCAAGGCGACGACGGGUAGCCGGCCUGAGAGGGCGACCGGCCACACUGGGACUGAGACACGGCCCAGACUCCUACGGGAGGCAGCAGUGGGGAAUCUUGCGCAAUGGGCGAAAGCCUGACGCAGCGACGCCGCGUGAGGGAUGACGGCC